This 2127-nucleotide unclassified non-coding RNA is filed under the name Hevea brasiliensis (rubber tree). The record is from RNAcentral. Lineage: Eukaryota; Viridiplantae; Streptophyta; Magnoliopsida; Malpighiales; Euphorbiaceae.
CACAAAUAAUAAAAACAACAACUUGUUUGCUUCAGGUUCAUGUCGUCCAAAAAGGCCACAACUGUUAACAUCAGAUUGGAAUUUUCAAAAUAGAGAAAUUAAAAAUGACUACAGAAUAAGUGCAGUGACAUAAACAGCACAAAGUAAUCUGAUCUGCAACAUAUGAUGAAAGUGAACAGAGCGUUUACGCAACUUAUCCUUCAAUCUCCAUACUUCUUAAUUAGACUGAAAAACUUUUGUGAGAAAAGAGAGUGGUCCUCAUCUUCUUCUCUAUCCAUAAAAAAAAGACGCAAAAAGCUUGCUCAAAUUAACAUUAGCCAAGUAUUUUUUCAAGUGUGACGAUGCAAUCAAUAUCCUUUUGUGCCAUUGAUAACCCAAUAGUCCAAUCCGAUGGGAACUAUAUUAUAAAAGUUGUUUUUGUUUGUGUAGUUGUCGAAUAGGUUCCAGUUCGCAUUGGGCCAGCCUACAAGAGCAAGUUGCUUAUCCAAGAGAUUUAUGGGCUUAAAUUGAUAACUUAGCUUAGCCCAUCAGUUUCCUAUUUCCAUCGAGGAGGUGAACGUGAAGGAAGAAUCACGGGGAAGGGAGAACUUGUUCAUCAAUGGAAGUUUUUUUCCAAUUUGAAGAGCACAAAAUUAAAAUUGACUGGCGGGUGUUAGAUGGAUGAAGUGAAUAUCUGAGGACCUCAUGAAGAAAUGUUUGGUUUCUCUAGUACUGGUCCAAACCAUUAUGGUAAAGGCCGCUAUUACAAUUAGCUAAGCUUUUGGGCAAUUCCCAAGUCAAAUUUAUGAAUAUCUGGGCCCUUCAAAUUCAUUACUUCCGGUUUUGGAUGCUGAAAUUGGCUUGCGGGAUGGAUAAUUUGAUGACGAUGAACGACAUCGUUUUACUUAACGCAGUUAUCCCAUUCUCCACUGCUCCUCAUUGAAAAUCUCUAUCAGGACCGGACUAGAGAGAGAGAGAGACCAAAACAAACAAGAUUAAAAAAAUGUGCAAGUUGCCAUUUAAUUUCAUUUUUUAAAUGAACAAAACCAUGAGAUGAGAAGCUCUGGACCUUUCGUUAUUGGAGGAACUGCCAGUGAUGGCGGUGCAUUUUGGACGCUUCUGUUGAGACCGCCUCCAAUCUCCUCUUACCGAUUCAAUCGUUAAAUCCAACUCCGCUCUUCUCGGUGAUCUUUUGACCUUCCUUUACCGGUCACGAUUUUCUUCUUUUUACGGUGAACACUGAUUAUAUGACCGUCAACGGCAAUGCGUUUAGCAAGAUGGAAGACGAUUACAUCAGAAGGCACCAUAAGCACGACGUUAAAGACCACCAGUGUAGCUCCUCUCUCGUUAAACACAUCAAAGCUCCAGUUCAUCUUGUAAGCCUCUUUUUCCAUAUAUUUUUUUUCUAGGUUAAUCAAUUUAAAACCCGUGGAGGAUUCGUUUUGGUAGAUCCGAGAGCAUUUUAGGCUGUACUUGGUCUGGAUUUUGCCUUUCAGGACCUGUUGGAUAAUAUUAUUGUAUUAAUGUGAUGUUUUAUAGAAUAUUUUGUGGUAUUUGAACUAUCAUCAGGUGUGGUCUCUGGUGAGAAGAUUUGAUCAACCACAGAGGUAUAAGCCGUUUGUUAGUAGGUGCAUUGUGCAGGGAGGCCUUCAGAUUGGAAGUGUUAGGGAGGUGAAUGUUAAGUCAGGACUUCCAGCUACCACUAGCACUGAACGAUUGGAGCUGCUGGAUGAUGAAGAGCAUAUAUUUAGGAUGACCAUUGUUGGGGGAGAUCAUCGGCUUAAGAACUACUCUUCAAUCAUUACUGUCCAUGCAGAGGUCAUUGAUGGGAGACCAGGGACAGUGGUCAUUGAGUCAUUUGUUGUUGAUGUGCCGGAUGGGAACACCAAGGAUGAAACAUGUUACUUUGUUGAGGCUCUAAUCAAAUGCAACCUGAAGUCACUGGCUAAUGUGUCGGAGCGUUUGGCUGUGCAAGACCGAACUGAGCCCAUUGACAGAAUCUGACGUAUGUGGGGCAGACUCCCAGUGCGGUGGGUUCUGUUUAUGCUAGUGGAAAAUGUGAGGUUUCUUUUGUCAGAAGCAGAUGGGGAGUUUUGCAUCCCAGAGGCAAUGUCAACUUUUCUUUUUCUUUAUACUUUAUGCUUACUC